RNAcentral lists this ribosomal RNA (465 nucleotides) under uncultured bacterium. Its description in RNAcentral is "partial 16S ribosomal RNA". It matches the Rfam family "Bacterial small subunit ribosomal RNA", at positions 28 to 507 of the family's 1533-position model. The record is from RNAcentral.
GACGAACGCUGGCGGCGUGCUUAACACAUGCAAGUCGAACGGUAAGGCCCCUUCGGGGGUCCACGAGUGGCGAACGGGUGAGUAACACGUGAGCAACCUGCCCUUGACUCUGGAAUAACAGUUGGAAACAGCUGCUAAUACUGGAUAUUCAUCGUCUCCUUCCUGGGGGGUGGUGGAAAGCUCCGGCGGUCAGGGAUGGGCUCGCGGCCUAUCAGCUUGUUGGUGAGGUAAUGGCUCACCAAGGCUUCGACGGGUAGCCGGCCUGAGAGGGCGACCGGCCACACUGGGACUGAGAUACGGCCCAGACUCCUACGGGAGGCAGCAGUGGGGAAUAUUGCACAAUGGGCGCAAGCCUGAUGCAGCAACGCCGCGUGCGGGAUGACGGCCUUCGGGUUGUAAACCGCUUUCAGUAGGGACGAAGGGUGACUGACGGUACCUACAGAAGAAGGACCGGCUAACUACGUG